Molecule: ribosomal RNA, 492 nt
Filed under: uncultured bacterium
Lineage: Bacteria
Description: partial 16S ribosomal RNA
Rfam family: Bacterial small subunit ribosomal RNA
Source: RNAcentral
AGUGAACGCUGGCGGUAGGCCUAACACAUGCAAGUCGAACGGCAGCACAGUAAGAGCUUGCUCUUACGGGUGGCGAGUGGCGGACGGGCGAGGAAUACAUCGGAAUCUACUUUUUCGUGGGGGAUAACGUAGGGAAACUUACGCUAAUACCGCAUACGACCUACGGGUGAAAGCAGGGGAUCUUCGGACCUUGCGCGAUUGAAUGAGCCGAUGUCGGAUUAGCUAGUUGGCGGGGUAAAGGCCCACCAAGGCGACGAUCCGUAGCUGGUCUGAGAGGAUGAUCAGCCACCCUGGAACUGAGACACGGUCCAGACGCCUACGGGAGGCAGCAGUGGGGAAUAGUGGACAAUGGGCGCAAGCCUGAUCCAGCCAUACCGCGUGGGUGAAGAAGGCCUUCGGGUUGUAAAGCCCCUUUGUUGGGAAAGAAAAGCAGCAGGUUAAUACCCCGCUGUUCUGACGGUACCCAAAGAAUAAGCACCGGCUAACUUCGUG